UACGGAGGGUGCAAGCGUUGCUCGGAAUUAUUGGGCGUAAAGGGCAGGUAGGUGGUCUCAUUUGUCUGGGGUGAAAUCCUUGGGCUUAACUCAAGAAGUGCCCCAGAAACGGUGAGACUAGAGUACUGGAGAGGGUCGUGGAAUUCCCGGUGUAGCGGUGAAAUGCGUAGAGAUCGGGAGGAACACCAGAGGCGAAGGCGGCGACCUGGACAGUUACUGACACUCAACUGCGAAAGCGUGGGGAGCGAACCGG
RNAcentral lists this ribosomal RNA (253 nucleotides) under uncultured bacterium. RNAcentral describes it as "partial 16S ribosomal RNA". It matches the Rfam family "Bacterial small subunit ribosomal RNA", at positions 524 to 776 of the family's 1533-position model. The record is from RNAcentral.